UACGGGGGGGGCAAGCGUUGUUCGGAAUUACUGGGCGUAAAGGGCUCGUAGGCGGCCAACUAAGUCAGACGUGAAAUCCCCGGGCUUAACCUGGGAACUGCAGUCGAGACUGCUCUGCUUGAGUAUGGGAGAGGGAGGUGGAAUUUCCGGUGUAGCGGUGAAAUGCGUAGAUAUCGGAAGGAACAUCAGUGGCGAAGGCGACCUCCUGGACCAAUACUGACACUCAAGUGCGAAAGCGUGGGGAGCAAACAGG
This 253-nucleotide ribosomal RNA is filed under the name uncultured bacterium. RNAcentral describes it as "partial 16S ribosomal RNA". It matches the Rfam family "Bacterial small subunit ribosomal RNA", at positions 524 to 776 of the family's 1533-position model. The record is from RNAcentral.